Molecule: ribosomal RNA, 253 nt
Filed under: uncultured bacterium
Lineage: Bacteria
Description: partial 16S ribosomal RNA
Rfam family: Bacterial small subunit ribosomal RNA
Source: RNAcentral
UACGUAGGGUGCAAGCGUUAAUCGGAAUUACUGGGCGUAAAGCGUGCGCAGGCGGUUUUGUAAGUCUGACGUGAAAUCCCCGGGCUCAACCUGGGAAUUGCGUUGGAGACUGCAAGGCUAGAAUCUGGCAGAGGGGGGUAGAAUUCCACGUGUAGCAGUGAAAUGCGUAGAGAUGUGGAGGAACACCGAUGGCGAAGGCAAUCCCCUGGACCUGUACUGACGCUCAUGCACGAAAGCGUGGGGAGCAAACAGG